ACACCUGCUCGUCUUCACGCAGGUGUUUUUCAAUCAGCUGAUGACCGCUGAUUGCUUCCUCCUCCUCUUCUUAUUUAAUCUCCCUCCAGCCAACAGGUCUGUGAUGUUACUAUGAAGAGAAGCUGCACGAGCCGUGGAACGAUAUAAAAAAGACGCGAAAAAAGUGUCGCAAAUGAAACUGUUGCGGGAGGAGGCAACUUGUGGCGGUAAUGCGCCAACCGCCCUAAAACCUCAAAAAAGAAAGAAGAGAAAAAAAGAAAACUACCGCUGCGUGACGCCAGACGCCGAAAAUGUGGAUUAGCGCAUUAGCUCCUGUAUAAAAACGCAGCAAGGCGCUCCGGGGUGGCGUGUUCGACCUGGUCCAGAUUGAUGACCCGUCCAGAAUGGAACAACCUGCUUCCUGCUCACGGAGACCUGGUCGGACCCGCCAUAUACAAAAGCCUGAGGCUGUCAAAAAAAGAUUGAUCUUCAUGAAGAUCGUCAAAGAGUAGGUGUCAUGCUUUAAUUCUGGGUGGCCGCUGUGUCCCCACUCUUUCUUGGCCGCUGUGCCUACAUCUCUCUUCAUUGUCCAACAUGGCCACGUUCUUUCUAUUCUCC
Molecule: long non-coding RNA, 597 nt
Organism: Solea solea (common sole)
Lineage: Eukaryota; Metazoa; Chordata; Actinopteri; Pleuronectiformes; Soleidae
Exons: 3
Source: RefSeq, a predicted model, not a curated record